Small nuclear RNA from Leopardus geoffroyi (Geoffroy's cat), 111 nucleotides. The record is from RefSeq and is a predicted model, not a curated record. NCBI's taxonomy places the organism in Eukaryota, Metazoa, Chordata, Mammalia, Carnivora, Felidae.
GUGCUCGCUUCCGCAGCACAUAUACUGAAAUGUCUGUCUAUGGUACUGAGAAGAUUAGCGUGGACCCUGCACAGGAAUGAUAUGCAAAUUCGUGAGGUGUUCCAUUAAAAA